RNAcentral lists this ribosomal RNA (532 nucleotides) under uncultured Alphaproteobacteria bacterium. RNAcentral's name for it is "bacterial SSU rRNA". It matches the Rfam family "Bacterial small subunit ribosomal RNA", at positions 329 to 877 of the family's 1533-position model. The record is from RNAcentral. Lineage: Bacteria; Pseudomonadati; Pseudomonadota; Alphaproteobacteria.
CACGGGGGNCNUACGGGAGGCAGCAGUGGGGAAUCUUNGACAAUGGGCGCAAGCCUGAUCCAGCCAUGCCGCGUGAGUGAUGAAGGCCUUAGGGUNGUAAAGCUCUUUCGCCAGAGAUGAUAAUGACAGUAUCUGGUAAAGAAACCCCGGCUAACUCCGUGCCAGCANCCGCGGUAAUACGGAGGGGGUUAGCGUUGUUUGGAAUUACUGGGCGUAAAGCGUACGUAGGCGGAUUAGUCAGUNAGAGGUGAAAUCCCNGGGCUCAACCCUGGAACUGCCUUNGANACUGCUAGUCUUGAGUUCGAGAGAGGUGAGUGGAAUUCCAAGUGUAGAGGUGAAAUUCGUAGAUAUUUGGAGGAACACCAGUGGCGAAGGCGGCUCACUGGCUCGAUACUGACCCUGAGGUAUCGAAAGUGUGGGGAGCAAACCGGAUUAGAUAUCCCUGGUAGUCCACCCCCGUAAACGAUGAAUGCCAGUCGUCGGGCAGUAUACUGUUCGGUGACACACCUAACGNAUUAAGCAUCCGCCUGGA